CAGUAGCCGCGGUAAUACAUAGGGUGCGAGCGUUAAUCGGAUUUACUGGGCGUAAAGCGUGCGUAGGCGGCUUCUUAAGUCGGAUGUGAAAUCCCUGAGCUUAACUUAGGAAUUGCAUUCGAUACUGGGAAGCUAGAGUAUGGGAGAGGAUGGUAGAAUUCCAGGUGUAGCGGUGAAAUGCGUAGAGAUCUGGAGGAAUACCGAUGGCGAAGGCAGCCAUCUGGCCUAAUACUGACGCUGAGGUACGAAAGCAUGGGGAGCAAACAGGAUUAGAUACCCCAGUAGUCCCUGUCUCUUAUAC
Molecule: ribosomal RNA, 301 nt
Filed under: uncultured bacterium
Lineage: Bacteria
Description: partial 16S ribosomal RNA
Rfam family: Bacterial small subunit ribosomal RNA
Source: RNAcentral